CAAGUCGAACGCGUCUUGGUUAUUGAUGUUAAGUGCUUGCAUUUAAUUGAUUUAACAUUGAGACGAGUGGCGAACUGGUGAGUAACACGUGGGUAACCUGCCCUUGAAGUAGGGGAUAACACUUGGAAACAGGUGCUAAUACCGUAUAACAACCAAAACCACCUGGUUUUGGUUUAAAAGAUGGCUUCGGCUAUCACUUUAGGAUGGACCCGCGGCGUAUUAGCUUGUUGGUAAGGUAACGGCCUACCAAGGCAAUGAUACGUAGCCGACCUGAGAGGGUAAUCGGCCACAUUGGGACUGAGACACGGCCCAAACUCCUACGGGAGGCAGCAGUAGGGAAUCUUCCACAAUGGACGAAAGUCUGAUGGAGCAACGCCGCGUGAGUGAUGGAGGGUUUCGGCUCGUAAAACUCUGUUGUUGGAGAAGAACAGGUGUGAGAGUAACUGUUCACAUCUUGACGGUAUCCAACCAGAAAGCCACGGCUAACUACGUGCCAGCAGCCGCGGUAAUACGUAGGUGGCAAGCGUUGUCCGGAUUUAUUGGGCGUAAAGCGAGCGCAGGCGGUUUCUUAGGUCUGAUGUGAAAGCCUUCGGCUUAACCGGAGAAGUGCAUCGGAAACCAGGAGACUUGAGUGCAGAAGAGGACAGUGGAACUCCAUGUGUAGCGGUGAAAUGCGUAGAUAUAUGGAAGAACACCAGUGGCGAAGGCGGCUGUCUGGUCUGUAACUGACGCUGAGGCUCGAAAGCAUGGGUAGCGAACAGGAUUAGAUACCCUGGUAGUCCAUGCCGUAAACGAUGAGUGCUAAGUGUUGGAGGGUUUCCGCCCUUCAGUACUGCAGCUAACGCAUUAAGCACUCCGCCUGGGGAGUAC
RNAcentral lists this ribosomal RNA (870 nucleotides) under uncultured bacterium. Its description in RNAcentral is "bacterial SSU rRNA". It matches the Rfam family "Bacterial small subunit ribosomal RNA", at positions 58 to 883 of the family's 1533-position model. The record is from RNAcentral.